RNAcentral lists this ribosomal RNA (253 nucleotides) under uncultured bacterium. Its description in RNAcentral is "partial 16S ribosomal RNA". It matches the Rfam family "Bacterial small subunit ribosomal RNA", at positions 524 to 776 of the family's 1533-position model. The record is from RNAcentral.
UACGAAGGGGGCUAGCGUUGCUCGGAAUCACUGGGCGUAAAGCGUACGCAGGCGGCUUUGCAAGACAGGUGUGAAAUCCCCGGGCCUAACCUGGGAACUGCAUUUGUGACUGCAUGGCUAGAGUUUGUCAGAGGGGGGUGGAAUUCCACGUGUAGCAGUGAAAUGCGUAGAGAUGUGGAAGAACACCGAUGGCGAAGGCAGCCCCCUGGGAUGUGACUGACGCUCAUGUACGAAAGCGUGGGGAGCAAACAGG